GGGUGUUACACAUUGUAACAAUAAUUUUUGAGGCACUAAAUAGACUUUGAAUGCUUCACACUCUUUAUUGAUAAGAACUUUUCACACUCCAAGGUUUAUUCUACUUUGAAUUCUUCACACUCUUUAUUGAUAAGAACUUUUCACACUCCAAGGUUAUUCUACUUUGAAUUCUUCACACUCUUCAUUGAUGAGAACUUUUCACACUCCACGGAACUUUUCACACUCGACGGUUUAUUCUAAUAAUAUUUUUUUGACAAGUCUCCAAAUUUCCUAUGACUAUGGUUCAGGAUUCUAGGAGCAGAUAGAGCCAAAUUCCAACUCGAGGGCAGAGACACCUACAUCCAGAUGUUGGGAAGGAAGUAUUGGAAUGGUGGCAACAAUAAUGAAGCGUCCCUUUGGAGGUAAUUUGAUACCUCAGUCUAUGAUAAGAGUUGGUGAGGCGCGGAGGCUUCGGCCUGCCGUUGUUCUCUACAAGAAUGGAGAGCAGAGUAUGAUUCUCAAUAAUGAAAUUGUGAUAAUCUUUCAGGAUCCAUGUUGAUCUGUAAUGUUUGUAGUGGAAAACAACGAUCAAAAUUAAUUUUUGAUUUCUACUUGAGUGUUAAAAAAAUUUGAAAUAUGCAUUUUUUGAAUUUAGUGUGUCCUCGUUUAAUGUGAUGGAAAUAAAUCUGUGAAACUAAGAGAAUGGAGUCUAAACUGUAUCUAACCGUGGCAGUCUGUGCUUUAAGUAUUCUCUCCGUACCUGCAAUGCGAAUAGCUCUACCAGGUCGACCUAUGCUGAUAUGUAACUUAUUUGGAUGUGAUUGUUCUCCAAGACCAGGAGAAAUGUGCUGCGAUGGCUACAAGUUCGAUGUUUUCUCUAAAGAAUGCCGGAUGGUUGAUAAUUCUGCAUCAUAACUUUCUCAAUAGCAGAUUAAUAAAGAUAAAUGUCUGAAUAAAAAAAUUAGUUUAGGUUGCACGGUGCACGUGUAUUCUUUAAAGUUGUUGACAAUUAAAAUCUAAAACCAAUAGAAUUUUUUCAACAUUUUAAACGAAUCAAUCCGAGAAAAUUGGAAAAAAUGCUGCUAUAUAUGUAGUAAAGCUCUGUAUAUAAAUAUAGUGCUGUAAAUCUUUGAAAUAUUUUUAUUGUGUAGUGGGAAAAAUAACUUCGAGUGGAAUUUACUAAAAUAGAAUCAUACAUCAAAAUAAAACUUUCGCUACCACAAGAAAAAAAAUACUUUCCAAGAAAGCAAAGUAGAUAGACAUUUUUGCAUGCAUGUUAUGGUGCAUAUCAAUUUAAAAAAUCUGUUUUUCGAAAAAUUAGCUUAGUGAAAAUGACGAUGUGCCUGUAAUUAAAUAAAUUAAGUAAACAGUAUAUUUUUCUUCAAGAAAGCUUAUUAAAAAGUUUUUUGUUCGUU
Molecule: long non-coding RNA, 1394 nt
Organism: Parasteatoda tepidariorum (common house spider)
Lineage: Eukaryota; Metazoa; Arthropoda; Arachnida; Araneae; Theridiidae
Source: RefSeq, a predicted model, not a curated record